AGAAUGAACGCUGGCGGCGUGCUUUACACAUGCAAGUCGAGCGAGGCGGCCCGCAAGGGUCAGUCGAGCGGCGAACGGGUGAGUAACGCGUGGAUAACCUGCCCAGAGGUGGGGGAUAACCCGGGGAAACUCGGGCUAAUACCGCAUGAUACCGAGAGGUCAAAGGCGGCUCGCAAGGGCUGUCGCCAUUGGAGGGGUCCGCGUCCGAUUAGCUAGUUGGUAGGGUAAUGGCCUACCAAGGCGACGAUCGGUAGCCGGCCUGAGAGGGUGAUCGGCCACACUGGAACUGAGACACGGUCCAGACUCCUACGGGAGGCAGCAGUGGGGAAUUUUGCGCAAUGGGCUAACGCCUGACGCAGCAACGCCGCGUGGAGGAUGAAGGUCUUUGGAUUGUAAACUCCUGUCAGCAGGGAAAAAGCGAAUCGGCCUAACACGCCGGUGAGUUGAUUGUACCUGCAGAGGAAGCCCCGGCUAACUCUGUGCCAGCAGCCGCGGUAAUACAGAGGGGGCAAGCGUUAUUCGGAAUUAUUGGGCGUAAAGGGCGCGUAGGCGGCUUGGCAAGUGGAUGGUGAAAUCCCUCGGCUUAACCGAGGAACUGCCAUUCAAACUGCUUUGCUUGAGGCCGGGAGAGGCGAGUGGAAUUCCCAGUGUAGCGGUGAAAUGCGUAGAUAUUGGGAGGAACACCAGUGGCGAAGGCGGCUCGCUGGACCGGUUCUGACGCUGAUGCGCGAAAGCGUGGGGAGCAAACGGGAUUAGAUACCCCGGUAGUCCACGCCGUAAACGAUGAGUGCUUGGUGUAGCGGGUAUCGACCCCUGCUGUGCCGAAGUCAACACAUUAAGCACUCCGCCUGGGGAGUACGGUCGCAAGGC
This 870-nucleotide ribosomal RNA is filed under the name uncultured bacterium. RNAcentral's name for it is "bacterial SSU rRNA". It matches the Rfam family "Bacterial small subunit ribosomal RNA", at positions 26 to 894 of the family's 1533-position model. The record is from RNAcentral.